CCCCCCCCCCCCAAUUUCCUGUUCUUCACCUUCUUCAACAAAAUCACACAGCAGCGAUUUCUCAACAAAGGGAUCCAUGAUCUCUCUUUCUGAUUCUCAAUAGAGAAAGAGCAGCGGCUCCUUUUCCUUCUCCGGCAACUAGCGAGUCAGCCGCAAACAUCCCCAUUAACUCCUCACUCUCCAAAACCAGCUGUGAAACAACCCUGUUUCUCACCUCAAAACACCCCAGAAAUGAUUCCUCAUCAGUCCAAAAACAUAGCUGAAAACUCCGUGGAAACACAACUCUAAAUCCAGCGAAAAUCCGUCCAAAAACCACCCAAAACAGCGCCCGAAACUCCCCGGUACAACAGCUUCGAAACAUAUUCGAAGUCACUGCGCUUCAGCUCUAAAGACAACGCCUAGCUCGUUUCUUCUCUGUUGGUUUUUCGACGAGUUCGGGGCUGCCAAAGGGGUCGUUCUCAAUUCUGGUUGAAGCGAGUCGAGGUCGACGUUUGAAGUCCCGGUUUGGUCUUGUUCGUGUUUUCACUUGAAAGCUUUGGUCGCAACCAUGUAAAUCAGUUGAUUUCUUAAUAAAAAGGGAAAGCUUGCGCAUCAAAAGGUCCAUCCUCUUCUCUUAAAUUCAUUUUUUUAAGUGGGUUAAUGUCAUGCAUUCGAUAAAUUGUUUGGUUGCUCUAUUUCGGAAUCCUUGAGUUGCUAUCUCGUUGCUUCGAAUGGUGGAAUAUUUUUAUGUUCUGUUAAUUUGCUCUUAAGAACGUAAGUGUUUAAUUUCGAUAUUUGAAUCGAAAAAUGCAAUAGUGAAGAAAGCACAAUGUUUGUCGUAGAAAUCCUCUUGUUUUGGCUUAUCUCGUUUGUUUGUGUCGUUAAGGUUUGGUGUAAUUCUUAUAGGAUUUUGCAUCUGAUUCCUGUAAGCAGUAAGCCAUGAAUUCUUAUUGAGCCUUGUAUUGAAGUUUGUUGGGAGAUGGCAUCAAAUUAAAAAUUUAUAGUCUUACUUGUUAACAACUAAGAGCCUUGAGCACAAUUUGGUUAGCAAAUCACUGAAGUUGAGAACGAGAUUGGUUUGGUGUUUUUACUGGUGGGUCAGCAUUUGUUCUUGUGAAAUUGAGGUGUGCCAUUUUUCUUAAGUAACCCAUGGCCCUCGUUAAAAUUAGUUAGCUCUUUUAAAAAUCGAGGCGUGCCAUCAGUUGAAUUUUUCAUGGCCCUCGCAAAUGUGAAGGUGCGUAGUUGUUUUAGGCGCGUAAUUUAAAUUAAUUUCCUUAAACUCGGGUGUGCAUUUCAUGUGACCCAAAUCCAAAUCUCAACAACGUUAAAUAAAAUGUGUCGUGGACCAUGGGUGCAUUUCAUGUGGCGUGGUUCAAAGACGUGUUUUAGGUAACGUUGAAUCUUCCUAAAAUUAAUUAAAAGCGGUUAAUAAUUUAAAAUUAUACCAUAGGCUAAAACAUGUAUUAAAAUCAGAUAAUAGGCCAAUUGUAAUAGUUUAAACGACCGUGCUAGAAUCACGGAAUCCGGGGAUGCCUAACACCUUCCCCCGGAUUAACAGAAUUCUUUAUUCAGAAUUUCUGGUUCGCAGACUUCAAAAGGAAAGUCGAAUCUUCCUCGAUUUGGGAUUUAAAAUAAGCCGGUGACUUAAGACACCAAUAAAAAUAUUCGAAGUGGCGACUCUGAAUAAAAAAUGAAUAAAUAAUCCCAUAUCGAAUAAUGCCACUUAAAUUGGAAAAACUCCUUUAUAUACCCUCUCAGGGUGUAUAAAAAGGAGGUGUGACAAUGUAGAUUUAGAGGACUCAUGCAAAGAUUACAAAUGUAAUUAGCUGCUCACUUUGAUUCUGGAGGCCUAAGAUUAGGUGCUCUUUAGUUUAUAAAUUGUUCUUUGGUUAUCAAUGGUAAUGUUUACAGUGUUACCAAAAAACAUUUUUGGUGCAUCUAAAUUUGAUAUUAUAAAAAUUCAAUUUCCCCCACUUUUCCACCUGCAACUUCCUGUAUGAUCUUAUUUUGCAAAAUCAAGUGUAGGGUUCAAAUUUUGUAAGGCAAGUUUGACUAAAACUUUAAGCUUGAGCCAUCCAUUUGUUGGCUCAACAUGGAAUUUGCUCCUUUUUUUAAUAAGUUUUUAUGACUUUUUUCAUCAACUUUAGAAGAAGACAACUAUUUUCACUUAAUGGGUUCAUAUUUCAUGUACAUAGAGGCCUUUCAUAUUAACUGCACAAGUUACACUCUCCGGUAGCUGCUAUUUACUUGUGAACACAAUCAAAAAAAUUUGAAAGCGAUGUACCAUGGCUCAAACGAAGAGGAUAAGUUAAAUCUUGAAAUUAUUGGUCCGCUUGUUCUUCUAAGUUUUUUAUGUUAUUUGUGUGAUUGAUGACUUUUCAUUAUCUCUACCGUAUAGCAAUAUUGUUCCGUGAUAUCUAAUAGCUUGUUUGGAUUGUUGUUACAUGUUGUUUUUAAAUAUAUCGUAUCGUAUCGUAUCGUAUCGUAUUGUAUUGUAUUGUUCGUUGAAUAUAAUAUUUGGAUAGAUUGUAUCGUUUGCCGUCAUUUUAUGAUGUCACGCACUAACAAUAUGGAGAAUAAACUUGCAUCAUUACUAAGAAAAAAUAAGAUAUGGAGUAGAAUUAUUAUAUAAAAGAAGUAGGAUAAAGAACAAAAUAUGAUUAUUUAAUAAUAAAGAAGGGCGAGAUGAGAGAAAAAACAAGGAAACGACGCCAUCACACCAAAUCUGUCGUUUCAUAAAGUGAUACUUUUUGUCGUUACAUAACGAUGGAUUUAAUGAUACGAUACUGUUUAACCAAAAAUAUAUCUUUCGAUCAAAGAUUAAUUUUAGAAGAAAACGGGCUUCUGAUAACCAAGUUUUGCCUCACUUUCCCAAUAGUAUCAAAGGAAAAUAACAAGAAUAAAUAAGGAAAUAAUUGAUUGCAAAGUCAAUAUAGUAAAUUUUGAGAAAAGCAGAAAAGUAAAGUGAAUAUAUUCCAAUAUUGUCUCAGAUGUCCUUACAAGUGAAAUUAUUUCCUCUUGUAUAUAGGUUUACACAUUUAAUGGUUCCUUCCAUUUAUGGCUAAAUCAUUAUGAGCUUUAAUUGUAUUAAUGAUCCGUUAUAAUUGGUAAUCGUAACUGUUCACUAGGAUUCUGUUACGAUUCUGAUUCCCCCUCCUCAUUAAGGUUCAUGGAUCUUCCUUUCUUACUGUCUUGAUUCAUUCUUUGCCAGUUGUUAGUCCCGGUACUAUCUCAUGGGUGUUUUCCUCCCGUGCCUUUUCUUAUUCUAUCAAACACGACUUCCACGUAUUGUGCCAUGUCAGUAGUCUUAUAUUCCACAUGUAGCACUUUAUCACCACCAAAUACAGAUAGUCCCCCCACUUUCUUGAAUAUUCUCUACUAAAUAUUCGGGAAAGUGGAAGGUUUUUAUGACGGGAAUUCUCUGCCGCCUUUUUCGAAUAUAAUCAUAUCCUUUUCUGAAUCGAUGUGACAUUAAUCACUUUUAUUUGACGACCAUGUCACGUAGCUGUUAACAAUUGGUCCUUCAGUUCUUCAGCGCCUUUUAGGGUUUUCCUGCAACCGCAUCAGUCACGAAGUGACAAUUCCAUUAUGACGCUUCAUAAUGACCUCAAUAGUCGUGUCUUCCUAUAAAUACUUAACUCAUUUUUUCCGAUUUUCUAAAGCCUUUCCUUCUUCGUAUUCUUGCCUUACUUCAUUCUGCAUCUUUUUCCUGUGUUUCUCUAGUUAAUCAUGGCUUCAUCAAAUCCCGGUCCUCACAAAGUAGUAAUUGUUGAUGAACUUCCCCCUACAACUGUGCUUGUUAGGAGUAGAAGAGGUGGUAGAUUACGUAGCCUCGGUUCUAUUUCUGACUGUGGUUCCUCCUCUCAAGGUAGUGCUACCAAACCAUCUUCUUCUAGAGCUAGGGCUUUUGCAACCCCAAGUUCUUCUUCUAAAGAUAAAGAUUUAACCGAAGCCCUUCGUGAACCCAUUGUUGAUGAAAUUGUCCCUGAAUAGCUAUCCUUUGUGAUUGAUUGUGAAUCCAUGAAGAGUGAAGUCUCUUCCAUGGCUGCUUCCCUUGAUCGUGAUGAUCGUUACCCAACUCUGAUUACCACUGGCCUUCUUGCUCUGGUUCGAAGAGAAUGUAAUUGGAAACCCGACUUCCCAGUUUUAAUUCCUGGUUCUAACUAAAGAAUAACUUCAUACCAAGCUGACUAUUCCUUCGUUUAUACAUAUCCCUUUACCUUAAGAUUUAAACCUCCUAUUGACCUGGUAAUCAUUGAGUUAUGUCGUUACUUCAGUGUUUGUUUGGGACAAAUUGGUCCUAUUGUUUGGAGAGUUGUUGCAUGUCUCCAUUAUUUAUCAAACUUGACUUCUAUGCCUUUUACUUUUCGUCACUUACUCCAUCUCUACUCUCCCAAACUAUUUCGUGAUGGAGUUUUUUUCCUUGUGGCCAAAAGUAAGAGAUUAUUAGUUAGCCCUGAAGAUGAUAGAGAUCGAGGCUGGUAUACUUGCUUCGUUGCUGCUCCUACUAGCGGUUUGGUGGGUGAAGAAAAUAUGUCUUUUCCAGAAAAGUGGAAUUUUGCACGUAAGUAUUUGUAUCUCACCUUUUUCCUUUCUCAAAAAUUGAUUCUCAUGUAUUCUCGUACCUACUUUUUCAGCAACUAUGGAAGUUUUUGAAGAGAUCCUUGACUUUUGUGCUUGGGUAGAAAAAUUAAUAUAUGUUGCUCCUAUGGAGAGAAGAUCUUGGAAGUACCUUUCUCGGAGAUUUGGGUGGAAAGUUAAAACACACGGUACUUUUUCCCGUUUAGUCUUUUUCUUUUUCUCUUUUACUUAUUUAAGUGUUUUUCACCAUGACUCUUUUUCUGUUGUCAGGAUUUGUCAUUCGUGGUGUUAGUCCUGCUUCUGUUUCAUCUGCAAGACUUACGGUGAGUCUUGCUCAAGAAACGAUUCCAAGGUCUUUUUCAAAGAGGAAGGUUGAUGGAGCCUGUGGCUCAGAGGAAGAAGAAGAAGAACUAGAGGAAGGUUCUUUAGUUCGUGGACCUCGAGUUAGGAGGCGCGUUAUUUCAGAUGAUGAAGCCAUACUUUCUCCAAGUUCAAUUCCUGUCAACGAGCCUGCAGAUGCUACUUUAGUGAAUUCUAAUGAAGAGAUGAAUGCUCCUCCUCGUGAAUCUACUGAUAAGUUGUUUUCCCGUGGUUUUGAUAGUGGUGAUUUUGGUCCCAUUUUUGAAGAGUUACCCUUUGCUUCUCUUCCAGUGUCAGUCCCCGUCUGUUCUCAAUCUACCGUUCCUAUUACUGCUGCUACAGCUCCUUCCGUGGCUGCUUUUACUUCCUCAACUAUACCUAUUUCUACUACUUCUCAUGUUGAAGUUGGUACCUCUAAUAGCAAUAGAGUGAUGAAAAAGGUUACCAUAAAGUCCCUGAAGAUGGUAAUCUGUUGAAAAAUUUUGGUCAAACCGACGUAUGGUUAAAACCUUUAAUUGGCCCAGUUGAGAAGUCUUAAGUUGGAAAGCCACGGCUCCUUGACAUAGAUGAAUGAUAUUAUUCAUUCAUCUUUGAAGCUUCAAGUUUUAGCUUUUUCCUUUCCUUUUCCUCGUGGUUAUUUACUUUCGUUUGACAACCACUUUUUUUUGUAGAUCAACUAAAUAGGCACGGAACUUAUGAAAAGAAUUGUUCACACUGAGCAGCUAGUCAAUGAUUACCAUACUGAAGCGAUAACUGGAAGGAACAAUAUGAGGGUCUUCAAUUGGAGAAAGAAUUUUUGGCUGAAGAGAAGUGUGCUUUGGAACAACAAGUAAGGAUGAUGGUGGCGGAAUUGGCAGUUGAAAAAGCCUCUUCAAGUCAAGUUGGCAGAGACAGACAUCCUUGAGUCUUCAUUUGCAAAGCAACUUUCUAAAACUACCAAGGAGAUAAGGGGUUUGAAAGAACUCCUUAAUCAGAAGGAGACUUAUGUGGGGAAGUUAGUUCAAACACUUACUCAGGUUCAAGAAGACCUCCAUAAGUUUCUGAUAAAAUCCAGUUGUUGGAGAGUUCCCUCGCCCCUCUGAAGAUUUCUUAUAAUGCUUCUUUGAUUGAGAAAGAAGAGUUGAAGGCUGAAAUUGACUAGUGGGAGAAAGAUUACGAAACCCUUGAAGAUAAAUCAACACCUGAUAUAAGUUGGACUUUUUUGAAUACCAGUGUCACGCCCUAAAAUCCGAGGAACACGACCAGCGCUCAACCGAGUAAACCCGACUGAGCAAGCAUAUUAGGUUUUAUACUACCCAAAUUCAUCUUUGAAUAAGGAGAAAAUGUACACCAUUAAUCAAAUUCUAUAAACAUGUCAUUAACAAUUCCAUUUCAUUUCCAUUAUCAACUUCGUUCACAAUUUUGAAGAUAUUACAAGUUUUAUACAUCAUUGCAAAACAUCAAUAUUUCUACUUUAAUUCCAAUACCCGACACUACCCACAACCUGUCUACGGACCCUCUAAAUACAACUGAAGAAUAAUAUGGAAAUGCUUGCAACAAGGCUCUAGCAAUACCUCAAAUAGAAAGGACAUGAUAUACAGAUAAAACAGGACCCCGAAACGAAGUGGGGCUAACCAAGUCAGCUGAAAGGAUGAUGCGGCACUAGCUGCGACCAACACUGCCUGCUAUAGAAACACCUACAUCCAAUUAAAGACGUAGCGCACCUGGCAAAAGGGACGUUAGUGCCAUCGAAUAGCACUAGUAUGUAUAACUAAACACCAUCCAAUUAGAAAGAACAACCAUACAAGAGUAAAAGAAAUCAUAAGGACAACAAAGCUUCAAAUAAGUAUCAAAACCAACAAUAUAAGAGGUUUACAUAGUUUCACAUAAUUUUUGAAAUUUUAAAUUGGGGUAUUCCAUAUCAUUGCAUCAUCAUCAACAUUACCACCGCUUCUUUGAGCGGAGUCCGAUCACGGCCCGAUCGACUAAGCUGUCUUACCAAGACGUUACCCUUUUUUUAUUCUCACUUUCCUGUUUUAAUUAUCAAUACAUUACCACCAUGUGUGCAUAACAUGGCGUCCGAUCACGGCCCGAUCAGCUAAGCCAUCUUACCAAGACGUUACCCUUUUUUCGUUAAUCAUCACAUUUCAAUAUUUAUUUCACAUGUAUCAAUUCAGAGGCACUUAGGGCCAUAAUUAUCAAAUCAUAUUUGGCAAUAGGCUACAUUUCAUAACUCACAUUCUACAUCACUUACACUUCCAACAUCAAACUUGCAAUUUAAGAUAAUGGGCAUAUACAAGAGCAAUUCAAGUUGUAAGCAUAGAGAGAGACAUUUACAUGAGUUGGCAUAAUAAUCACAAUUUAAACUUGACUUGAAAUCUAGGCAAUUUAGCAUAUAGUCCACAUUCUUCACAUAUCAUCAAUUUAUCAAGAAUACCAUAUUGUACAUAUUGGGACAUACUUUUCACAUAUAUUCUUGCAACACUAAUUCUUUUUAAAUAACAAAUACUACGUCAAUCAAAUUCCGGACUUACUAUUUUACAUGGACACCAUGGGAGCUCAAUUUCUAAGAAGAGGUGGUUUUAGCCACACAUACCUUGUUUAAGAGUUCCUUAAGUUACUACGACAUUCCGAAAAUUCUAGCAAUCCCAAUCUACUUUAUGACAUGACAAAAUUGAAUACAAAUUAGGAAGGUAUUCAUGGUUUCAGCUCAUUCGAGCAUUUUAUCAAAUACUAGUUGUACAUCUUGAUUUCAAAUCUCUUUUACAAGAUUUCAUUCAUUCCCCAACCCAACCUUUACUUAUUUAUGUUCAACAAUCUUCCCACAAACUUAAUUUGUACAUGCAUGUAUACAUAAUACUAUUACACCCAAGAAUCAUACCUCAAUAACCCAUCUCACAAUCUCUACAACACCGACACAACCUAGGUUAGGCACCUAUGGCUUCCAAUCAUCAUCCCAUGAGUUACAAUACUUAAUUCAUACUCAUAUUCCCAUAAUAUAUCCAUAUAUGUAAGUCUAUAGGUGUAGGAAUUACCUUUUGAAGGAAACCUUGCAAACCCUCAUUUGAAUUCUUGAAGGAAUUUCUUGAAGAUCUAUGUGUUUUAUGAGUAGAUUUCAUCAAUACUAGUGUAGGAAUGAUAGAAUUUCACACCAAGUUAAUGGAGGUUGCUUACCUUGAAGAUUGGAGGUGUUGGAGGUCUUGAGAGAGUGGAGGAAAACCCUAAAAGUCGUCCAAAAGAUAUGGGGAAAAUAAAUCCCGAAAUUGUGUUUAUAAGCCCAAAUUUCGGAUGCUGCCUCGUAUGCUUCGCAUCCCUACUUCACUCCUCUCAUGAGCUCGGAUGCUGACCCGGAUGCUAUGGCAGCACUUCACUGCCAGCUCCUCUUUUUGGAUGUUGUCUCGGAUGCUUCGCAUUCGCGCAGUCCUCCGCUAGCCUUUGGUAAUUUGGUCAUAACUUCUUGUAGGAAAUUCCAAAUGACGAACGGUUUGAAGCGUUAGAGACUAGACUCAAAGCACUUUCAUUUGACAGGCUGUGCAUCAUCUAAAACUUAUAUAUCUGUAGAUAUUCUCGUUCAAAGUGUAGUCUUGUGCGUACUCAUUUAAAAUUUUAGUCUAUCAUGUAAUUUUCCAAUUUGGCUUAGACUUAUACGCUUAUUAACAUAUCCAAUUGAUAUCCAUUAUAUCACGAAUCCUCAUUUGCACACAAAAUAAAAUAAUUAGCCUACCUUGGCACCACGAAAUCUUAAAUUACUUAGAAAUAUUUUCUAGGGCCUGACACCCCCCCCCCCGGAUCAUUCGUCCUCGAAUGAGGAGUAGCGUCUGCCCUAAACGCAUAACACAAUAUAUCCCUUUUUUCACCUACCUCAAUUCCCUAAAUUUAGACUAACUCCCAAAUUUUCAGAAAUUUCGACAGAGUCUCCUUUGUAACUAGGCCUAUCCACCUGCCAGAGAACCACCAAGACCAUCCUAACAACUCAUCUACAUCUCGACAAAGCACCACAAUGUAUAUAUCAAAAAUACUAAUCUCACAAUUACAAGCACAACAUUAUCAUAAUGAUACCUGAACAUGGACUGCACAUUUUUAAAUCACAACACCUAUAAGGUACCUCUCAAAUCAAAACCAAUUGUUAUACAAUCGAGCGAAAAUAUUUUCUUUCCACGACACUUUAGGCCUUCAAGGUGGCCUCCUUGACUUACUAGCUUUACCAUAACACAUUUACGGAAACAAUUCCAACCUCCAAACUUAUCUAACAAGGAUGACAGCUAGAUACCUCGCAUAAGCUAACUAUCCAUUAACUUCACCUUCAAUAAUUUCCACUGGAAUGAUACACAAAGGAUCUCCAACUACCUUCUGAGACAUAGACAUGUGAAUAGACAAAAUAUAUGGCGAACAACUAUGGGGAAACUUCAUACUCCUAGUGCGGCCUAAUGUGGAAUACACUUAUGCAACCUUCAUUAUCAACUCACAAAACAUCUUCAGGGGAAAAUGUUGAGAAUAACCUGUUCACCCUCCAAAACUCUAAAUCUCUAGGCGAACACUUCACACUAAAUCCUUGAUGACCUUCAACAGUUACUCUAAGAUGUGCUAUCAUAAACUGACCAUAAAAUUACCUAUCAAAUAUAUGUGAUCACACUGCGAAGCUUCCUCUUUGACUUGUUUGAACCUACAAUACCCAAUGGAUCUAAUACAAUGAGGAACAACAGAGUUCAAGAUCAGGCUGGAAUUAUUCAGGAAUCCAUUAAUGUGCUGAGCAGAGUCUUUCAUGAGGUUAUAUGCUAAUAGACACGAAGAUUACUACUAACAAUACUGACAUGGUUAAUCAUUGUGACGACAUCAAUUAUUAGACAAAUGAAGCGUAUGGGUAACUAGUACAUUGGCAAUAAGAAUCAUUAAGGAGGAAUAUUCAAGUACGUGACCCAGUCGUCUCCUGGAGUGUAGGGAAACUCUGUUUAUCAAGAAUGAGAAUACUAUGGCACCUUGAUUGCGAUAUGGGAUUCAAAAUACAUGAAGUUGAAUUGCACUCCUUUCAUUGACUCACAUAAGGAAUCUAUGCCACAAGCCCAUGAGGAUGGAAAGAAGUUGAAUACUUAUGAGAUUAUCAUGUUUCAAACAGCUGAACCUUUCCUGAUAAUUGACCCUAUAUGAGAGAACUAAAGAUAUAACAAUUGGUCUUCCAAAUCAAUAUGCUCAUGAUAUGUGCAAAAAUCUAAAGGCAUCUAACCUCAACUUUUUACGAGUGAAACCAUAUAGCUAGGAACUCAUACCAUAGGGGUGAAAUCACGUAUUGGUUAGAGGGGUUUUAAUGGUUGACGUAACGCUCUAGGAGGAAAGACAAUUAAAACUCCUAUCCUCCUUAAGGAGGUGAAAUGCCAGGGAUAGCAAAAUUUCCCGCACAUGACAAUGACGUUGUCAAUAAUCCUAGAAGCCAAGUGAGCAGAAGGCUAUGUAACCCAUCCAAUCCAACCCAUUUAAGACUUUUGAAAAGGGGAUGCGCUUUUGCUUGAAAUCAUGGCAAUAUAAGUUUGAACUUAGGUGAAAUCAUUACUUUUGAAACCCAUGAGAUAAGCCCACGUAGCCCUAGAAAAUCGUUAACAAUGGCAAGAAAGUACUUAAAACCAUUAUGAGUUGGUAUAGAGCAAGGCCUCAAAGUGCCUACAUGGAUAAGUUUGAAAGAAUGAGACGUCUUAAUGCAUUUAUUGGGGAAAGGUACCAUAGGUUAUCUAGUCACAUGGACAAGAAGAGCAGGUAAAUGGUUGUUAGAAGAACAUCUACAAGGAAUACCAGCAAUAUUCAUUUAUUCUAACAAAAGGAAUAUGUCCAUAUCCGCGAUGCUAUAAGACAUCCUCUUUGAUGCCAUAAAACAUAAAAUGAGUUUUACAAUGAGAGUUAUCAGAUGAAAUAGAUAGUAGGGCAACAAAACUAAAAAGCACCAUUUGGAACCAACAAGCUUAAAUUGAGUUGAAGAUAUUAGAAGUCUAUAAUAAAGGGGAAUUUACCCACUUCCAGUGUCCUUUUUAGAAAAAGGGGCUUGUAGAGUACAUAAAAGUGAGGUGAAUUGGAUCGAAUCAUAUAAUUGGAUAGCUAGUCGAGAAAAUGAGAUAAGAUCAUAUUGAAAAAUAUAGAGGAACAACACACGAUACAAGGUAAAUGAAAAGAAAGUAAGAGAGCCUAUGGAAGUAACCUUUACAUAGUAACCACUAGGAAGGGUGGUAAUAUAAGGGAUUACGAGAAGCUAAAUUUUUGAAAGAAGAUCUUUGUAUGUAGUCACGUGAUGUAUAGCUCCAGAAUUCAAAAAUCCAAUUAUGUUUGGCAACUCUAUUCCACAAUGAAGCACUGCAACACACUUCUAUACAACCAGCUAUUACCAGCCAAAUUGGGAGACGCUAUAAGACUUGACUGAGAGAAAAGCUUUGACAUAUGAAUGUGUUACUAAGUGUAUUUCUCCUUGGUCAACCCAAAACCAAGAGGCGAGAGUUAGCCUAAUAAGCAAAUUGUUGGACUAGCAUAUGUGUAGAUAAUCCAUUAUCGAAAGGAGAUCAUUCAAUCUCAACAAUUGCGGCAUGCUAUCAACCCUUGAUGAACUUGAAGAAGGUGGGAACCCAACGAGAUAGUAUAAAAUAAUAAUGGAAGGUUUGCAGAUGUUCAUAAUGAGUUCUCCAUGGAUUUUGACUUGAGAAUUGCCCAGAUGCUAAUGAAAGAUAGAAAAACAUGAGAAACAGGCGUUGUGCUAUAAUCACCCCCAAAGGUGUGCUUGGUCUUGACGGAGAACCUAGUAAGGGUCUUUAUGAGAAAGGAGGUGUUACAAUGAGACAUAGAAUGAUAUGUUCUCUCAUGGUUAUCGAACAAGUGUUGGAAACUAGCACAAUGAAUUCACUAACUAAGGAACACAAUUAACACAUGUUGUGGAGGUGUAAAGAGGAAAUAAACAUUUGUUAUAAGCUGGACAUGCUUUUUCUAUAUUAACUCCCAACUGCAAUACAUGACCACGCCACGAGCAACCACAAUACUAGUAAUAAAGUGAGAUACUUACUGCGGGAUGUCCCAAAUGGACACAAAAGUUAUACUAAGAUGGCGACACAAGAUCUUCCUAUGACGAGGAUGUGAGGAUCUCAAUUUUCAGAGAGACUUUAUGCACAUGGUGACCUUUUCGAUUGACAAGUAUUCAUGUGAUAGGUGUUAGGGUAUACUCUUAUGUUACUAGAACGUGAGAAGCUUUCACGAUGAUACUCGCAAGAGAGUAGAGUGACUGUUCAAACCAUAUAAUCCAUAUACACAAGUGAGUAAAAGAGUGACUCGAGAAGGAUCACAACACUAGGAUGCUUUACAUGGAACUUGACACCACAUAGGUAAACUUUACGAAGGUGCAUCCAUAGGCACAAAUGAGCAGAUGUUGUCCAUAAAAAGAUUUUGUAACAAACUCAUCGGACGUAGUCCCCUAUUGAGAAUUUAGGAAAGAAAGUGGGAAGUAUUAAUCCUAGAGUUAUAACUCCAUUCAAGGACGUAUUUAUAGAACUUAAUUCCACAAGAGGAUGUAAAUAAGAGAAUUUAUGAUAGAGUGGAUUCACGAACAACACGUCUCCUUCAAGGAGUAGGUACACACAAGUUUUUGUGACUCACAUCUUACUAAGAUCAUGUUUAUGAGGACUCUUCAAUAAGGAUGUAGACAUGCAAUAAGUAAAAAUUUUGUGUUGUUUAUAAUGAUGUACUAGGGAGUGACUUACUUGUUGACUUUAGGUUGUUAGGGCAAUAACUUAAUCGAUGCCCUUCGACUCCACAUCCCUAAUGCACGUUGGUAACAUAUUGAUAUACUAUAUGAUCUGGUGGUGCAGAGACAUUAAGGAACAAGGGUACUCCCCUUAGCAACAAGUUCUACCAAUCCAUCCAUGGCUCGAUACGUUCUCCUAACAAAUGCUGGGGCAAUCUACCUCAGAUUCAAUGGCGGGGUCAUUCCCUCUUUAAUGUUUCAAAUUCGUAGAUUAUGGUAUCAACAUUACUCAUCUGGAGAAUAUAACUGAAGAUAUUAUUAUCUGGAGAUUAUGGUAUCAACAUUUUCAUAUCAUUUCCAUUAUUAACUUCGUUCACAAUUUUGAAGAUAUUACAAGUUUUAUUCAUCAUUGCAAAACAUCAAUAUUUCUACGCUAAUUCCAAUACCCGACACUACCCACAACCUGUCUACGGACCCUCUAAAUAUAACUGAAGAAUAAUAUGAAAAUGCCUGCAACAAGGCUCUAGCAAUACCUCAAAUAGAAAGGACAUGAUAUACAGAUAAAACAGGACCCCGAAACGAAGUGGGGCUAACCAAGUCAGCUGAAAGGAUGAUGCAGCACUAGCUGCGACCAACACUGCCUGCUAUAGAAACACCUACAUCCAAUUAAAGACGUAGCGCACCUGGCAAAAGGGAUGUUAGUGCCAUCGAAUAGCACUAGUAUGUAUAACUAAACACCAUCCAAUUAGAAAGAACAACCAUACAAGAGUAAAAGAAAUCAUAAGGACAACAAAGCUUCAAAUAAGCAUCAAAACCAACAAUAUAAGAGGUUUACAUAGUUUCACAUAAUUUUUGAAAUUUUAAAUUGGGGUAUUCCAUAUAAUUGCAUCAUCAUCAACAUUACCGCCGCUUCUUUGAGCGGAGUCCGAUCACGGCCCGAUCGACUAAGCUGUCUUACCAAGACGUUACCCUUCUUUUAUUCUCACUUUCCUGUUUUAAUUAUCAAUAUAUUACCACCAUGUGUCCAUAACAUGGCGUCCGAUCACGGCCCGAUCGGCUAAGCCAUCUUACCAAGACGUUACCCUUUUCCGUUAAUCAUCACAUAUCAAUAUUUAUUUCACAUGUAUCAAUUCAGAGGCACUUAGUGCCAUAAUUAUCAAAUCAUAUUUGGCAAUAGGCUACAUUUCAUAACUCACAUUCUACAUCACUUACACUUCCAACAUCAAACUUGCAAUUUAAGAUAAUGGGCAUAUACAAGAGCAAUUCAAGUUGUAAGCAUAGAGAGAGAGAUUCACAUGAGUUGGCAUAAUAAUCACAAUUUAAACUUGACUUGAAAUCUAGGCAAUUUAGCAUAUAGUCCACAUUCUUCACAUAUCACCAAUUUAUCAAGAAUACCAUAUUGUACAUAUUGGGACAUACUUUUCACAUAUAUUCUUGCAACACUAAUUCUUUUUAAAUAACAAAUACUACGUCAAUCAAAUUCCGGACUUACAAUUUUACAUGGACACCAUGGGAGCUCAAUUUCUAAGAAGAGGUGGUUUUAGACAUACAUACCUUGUUUAAGCGUUCUUUAAGUUACUACGACGUUCCAGAAAUUCUAGCAAUCCCAAUCUACUUUGAGACAUGACAAAAUUGAACACGAAUUAGGAAGGUAUUCAUGGUUUUAGUUCAUUCGAGCAUUUUAUCAAAUACUAGUUGUGCAUCUUGAUUUCAAAUCUUUUUUACAAGAUUUUCUUCAUUCACCAACCCAACCUUUACUUAUUUAUGUUCAACAAUCUUCCCACAAAUCUAAAUUGUACAUGCAUGUAUACAUAAUACUAUUACACCCAAGAAUCAUACCCAAUAACCCAUCUCACAAUCUCUAUAAUACCAACACAACCUAGGCUAGGCAGGUAUGGCUUCCAAUCACCAGCCCAUGAGUUACAAUACUUAAUUCAUACUCAUAUUCCCAUAAUAUAUCCAUAUAUGUAAGUCUAAGGGUAUAGGAAUUACCUUUUGGAAGAAAUCUUGCAAACCCUCCUUUGAGUUCUUGAAGGAAUUUCUUGAAGAUCUAUGUCUUUUAUGAGUAGAUUUCAUCAAUACUAGUGUAGGAAUGAUGGAAUUUCACACCAAGUUAAUGGAGGUUGCUUACCUUGAAUAUUGAAGGUGUUGGAGGUCUUGAGAGAGUGGAGGAAAACCCUAAAAGUCGUCCAAAAGAUAUGGGGAAAAUAAAUCCUGAAAUUGUGUUUAUAAACCCAAAUUUCGGAUGCUGCCUCGGAUGCUUUGCAUCCCCACUUCACUCCUCUCAGGAUCUCAGAUGCUGACCCAGAUGCUGACCCAGAUGCUAUGGCAGCACUUCACUUCCAUCUCCUCUUUUUGAAUGUUGCCUUGGAUGUUUGGCAUCCGCGCAGUCCUCCACCAUCCUUUGGUAAUUUGGUCAUAACUUCUUGUAGGAAAGUCCAAAUGACGGACGGUUUGAAGCGUUAGAGACUAGACUCAAAGAACUUUCAUUUGAUAGGCUGUGAAUCAUCUAAAACCUUAUAUAUCUGUAGAUAUGCUCGUCCAAAGUGGGAUCUUGUGCGUACUCAUUUGGAAUUUUAGUCUAUUAUGUAAUUUUCCAACUUGGCUUAGACUUAUACGCUUAUUAACAUAUACAAUUGAUAUCCAUUAUAUCAUGAAUCCUCAUUUGCUCACAAAAUAAAAUAAUUAGCCUACCUUGGCACCAAGAAAUCUUAAAUUACUUAGCAAAAUUUUCUGGGGCCAUACAACCAGCUUCGAGUCUUUGAUGGAGGCUAGCCAGGAAGGUUUUGAUCUCAAUGCUGAGAUUGCUAAAGCUAAAGAAGAAAUCGAAAAAAUUCAGCAAAAUCAAGACUUUCAUUCACCUAAGGUCAGCAUUCCCGAAGGUGAUGAACUUACUCCUGGUGAAGUUGGCAUUCAAGCUUCUUCUGCUCAAGUUGAAUCUCCUCCCCCUGUUGAUGAUGCCUUAUUGGAUUCUACCUCUCCCGCUGCUGAUAAUGUCGCAUUGGAUUCUACUCCUUAGUGUUCUUUUAGAACUUAGUUUGUUUUUGGAACUUUUGGUAAGAAUUUUUUUUUUACUUUUUGGAAUGGAUGGUUAGUUUUUACCCCUGGUUCAUUUUGGGGUUUGUUUGAACAUUUUGGUUUUAACUAAGUAUAUACUUAGUUUUAACCCAAGUUUAAUAUAUGAUCUUUCUUUUAGUUUGAGUUUUUUUUUAAAUCUUUGACUUGCAUUUAAAAAUGCUUUAAUAUUUCAUGAUUUUGGCAUAGACACGAAUUUUAUAAAAGAUGGUCCUUUUAUAAACGACACUAAUGAAGAAGACGUCUCAACUUCAUAUUGGUAUAAAUAUAUGAGAGAAGUAGGAAAAUACAUAUUUUGAAGCAGUUUCAUGAAUAAUUUGAGGAAGUUUCAUAUCUUGAACUUUCAAAUUACAUAGCAUUUUACAACUAUUCAAUUAACUUUUUGUACGACAUCUACAACUCUUUCAUAAUUAUUUUUCUUAUAACAGAUUUCAAAAAUUCUAGGGUAUAUCUUGCAACCCACAACUAAUCAUUGUCCUUAACCUAAGUACUCGCAGGAUCUUGUAAUUUAUGCCCAUGAGUUUACACUUUAUCAAAGCUUAUUACAAAAGUUUUUUAUUCAUACUUGUUUCUUGUCUCUUGAUUGGCUCUUGACUUCUGAUUUUUGGGUGAUCCAGGCUUGAAUUUUGACUUUUAGUCUUCUCUGACUUGCUGUCUUCUUUGCCUUCUAUCUAUAGUCCCCCAAGUGUUAGAACUUUGAAGUAUGAAAUAUCUACCACUUGAUUACUCCUUCCAUUUGGUCUAUUUCCUGAAAAGGAAAAUACAUACGGGACUCAGAGGUAUAUUUUUAGAUGAUGAUUGCUUAACCCUUUUUAUUUCCAUCAGAAAGGUUGUAACCCACACCGGGGAUAAUUUUGUAUCACGCGUGUCUUUUUGGUCUAAUAUCAUCAUUCGGUGUGGGCUAGCUUUAUGCCUAUCAUCUAAAAUGGUUAGUAUAAUUAAAAACGAAUAAAACUAAACCACACAUAAAUGAUACCUGACCUGGGGUUCUUCCUUUAGAAGUAAUACUUAUUUAAAUGAAUAGAAUUCCAAUUCGAUGGGAGUACUUUGUUGUCCAUUGUUUCUAACCCAUAUACACCCUUUCCAACAAUGCCUCGAAUCUUGUAAGGUCCUUCCCAAUUUGGACUAAAUUUUCCUGCAUUGGUUGCUUUUGUUGAUUAAAAAACUUUUUUUGAGGACGAAGUCCCUAAUUUUGAAGUAUCUAAGAUGAGCUUUUCAAUUGUAAUAUCGCUCAAUAAUUUGUUUCUGCACUGCCAUCCUUAUUAGAGUCGCUUCUCUCCUUUCUUCAAGUAAAUCGAGAUUUAUGCGCAUCUCUUCCUCAUUUAAUUCUUUAGUUGCUUGAGUGUAUCUUAUACUUGGUUCACCUAUUUCCACUGGAUUAAGGCUUCGGCACCAUACACAAGUGCAAAUGGAGUCUCUCCCAUACCUACUUUUGUUAUCGUUUCAUAAGCCCAUAAGACUCCUGGUAAUACUUCUGGCCACUUACAUUUUGACUCCUCUAAUCUUUUCUUCAAGUUAUUAAUAAUAACCUUUUUGUCGAUUCAGCUUGUCCAUAAGCCACAGGAUGAUAAGUUGUUGAAGUUAUCCUUUUAAUCUGCUAACUUUGAAAGAAUCCUGUGAUUGCCGCACCUAUGAAUUGCGGGCCAUUGUCACAUACCAUUUCUUUUGGAACUCCGAACCGGCAUAUAAUGUUUCGCCAAAUAAAGUCCCUGACUUCUUUUUCCCCCACCUGCUUCUACCCACUUGGUAAAAUAAUUUGUUAAUACUAAUAAAAAUUGUACCUUUCCUUUGGCUUGUGGUAGUGGACCGACGAUAUUCAUCCCCCACUUCAUAAAAGGCCAUGGUAAAAUAACCGGAUGUAGUAGCUCCGCUGGGCGAUGCAUGUCGUUGCCAUAUUGUUGGCAUUUAUCACAUUUGGCCACAAAACUUUCCGCAUCUUCUUCAAUUUUUGGCCAAUAAUAUCCUGCUCUAAUUAGAGUUUUUACCAAGGAUCUUCCCCCUAUGUGAUUUCCACAGUGUCUCUCGUGUACUUCUUUCAUCACAUACUCUAUUUGAGAAGGUCUGAGAAAUCUUGCUAAAGGCCCACCGAACAUCUUUCGGUACAGGUUGCCACGGUCCAAACAAUAACGGGCAGCUUUUCAUCGAAGUGACUGAGCCUUUUUCUUAUCUUUAGGUAGAAUCAUGUACUACAAGAAAUUAACGAACUCAUUUCUCCAAUACCAAGUUAAAUUAUUGAAAUUUACCUCGUUACUGUCCUGAUCGAGUAUCGAAUGAAACAAAUGUAUUAUGGAAGCAUUCUCUUAAUUUGUUACUUCUGCAACAGAUGCGAGAUUAGCCAACACGUCUGCUUCAGCAUUUUCCUCCCUGGGUAUUUACACGAUUUUCCAAGAUUGGAAUUGUCUGAUUAAGUCUCGUGCCUUUUCUAAAUAUUGUUUCAUCCUCGCCUCUCUAGAUAUAUAAGUCCCCUGCAUUUGAUUAACUACAAGCUGCGAGUCACUUUUGAUUAUAAUCUGCACUAUUCCAAGCUGUCGUGCCAAUUCUAGACCUGCAAUUAUAGCUUCAUAUUCUGCUUCAUUGUUAGUAAUGGGAUGGCACUUUAUUGCCUGCAUUAUAGUUUCUCCUGAAGGUGGGAUUAGAACAAUGCCUAAACCCACUCCUUUAAUAUUCGAGGAGCCAUUAGCAAAUAGGGUCUAGGUACCCAUAUUAGACCCAUUGAACACCUGUAGUUCCUUUUCUGCUUCAGGUACUAUACUUGGGCUGAAGUCUGCCAUGAAAUCUGCUAAAACCUGUGAUUUUAUUGCAGUUCUAGGUUGGUAUGUUAUAUCAUAUUCACUGAGCUCUAUAGCCAAUUGGCUAAUCUACCUGAUAGUUCUUGCUUACGUAAUAUGUUUCUUAAGGGGUAAGCAGUCUCUAUAGAGAUAGGGUGACAUUGAAAAUAAGGCCUUAAUUUUCAAGAUGCCAUGAUUAGUGCUAAAGCAAGUUUUUAUAAAUGAGGAUAUCGAGUUUCAGCAUCCAAUAAAGAUUUGCUAACAUAAUAAAUUGGAGAUUGUUUACCUUUGUCUUCACGUACUAACACUGCACUUACCGCUAUUUCUGAUACAACAAGAUAGAUGAGCAACCUUUCUCCAUCCUUUGGUUUAGCCAGCAACGGUGGGUUUGACAAGUAUUCUUUUAGAUUUUUGAGUGCUUGUUGACAUUCCUCAGUUCACUCAAAUUGGUUUUGCUUUUUCAACACUGAAAAGAACUUAAAACUUUUCUCCGAAGAUUUAGAAAUAAAUCUUCCCAAAGGUGCUAUCCUACCUGUCAAUCUCAGUACCUCUUUUUUGCUCAUGAGUAUGUCUGGUAUUUCUUCAAUGGCUUUGAUCUGUGCAGGAUUUACUUCUAUUCCUCGGUUAGAAACAAAGAACCUAAAAACUUGCCUAAAGACACGCCAAAUGCACACUUUUUGAGAUUUAACUUCAUAUUGAAUUUGCGGAGAAACUGAAAAGUAUCUGACAAAUGUUGGAUAUGAUCCCCCACCUGUGUUGACUUGACUAGCAUGUCAUCGAUGUAGACUUCCAUAAUUUUUCUCAGGUGUUCUUGAAACAUUUUUGUUACCAACCUUUGGUACGUGGCUCCAGCAUUCUUUAGCCCGAAAGGCAUGACUUUAUAACAAUAAGUCCCCUGUCUGUAAUAAAGGAAGUUUUUUCCUCAUCCAAAGGAUCCAUUUUUAUUUGAUUACACCCUGAAUAGGCAUCUAUAAAACUCAACAACUCAUGUCCUGCAGUAGCAUCAAUUAGUUGAUCUAUAUGCGGUAAAGGAAAUGAGUCUUUAGGAUAAGCUUUAUUCAAGUCCGUAUAAUCUACACAAACUCGCCAUUUCCCAUUAUUUUUUGGUACCACUACGGUAUUAGCUAGCCAAUUAGGAUAUUUUAUCUCUCGUAUAGACCCAAUUCUUAAAAGUUUUUGUACCUCAUCCUGAAUCACCUGAUUUUUGAAGGAUUCUUGCUUCCUUUUCUUCUGUUUGACAGGUGGAUAUGAUGGAUCUUCAUUUAACUUAUGGGUCAUCACCUUUGGUGGUAUACCUGUCAUAUCUGAAUGCCACCAAGCAAAGCAAUCUGCGUUAGUUUUUAAGAAUUCAGUUAACUUACCUUUCAUUUCUGCGCUCAGGUUGGUUCCAAUAAAAACUUUUCUGUCCGACCAAUGUAUAAACAGCACCAUUGCUUCGAGUUAUUCUAUUGUUUUUUUAAUGUUUUUAUUCUCUUCUGGCUCUUGAAUGAUAUCAGGCCUUGAAUCUACAUCCAUUUGCCCAUCUCCAGUUGAGGUUUGUGUUGCUAAAUCCUCAAUUGAUAUCUGUAAUUGCUAUUUUUGUCUGCAACAUCGUUCUUUAUGCUUGAAUCGCCACUGAAUUGAUACUUCUGGAAGACUGCUGAUCACCACGGAUUUGUCUAAUCCCCCAUUGUGAAGGGAACUUAAUAACCUGAUGUAAAGUAGACAGAACAUCAACCAUAUCAUGAAUCCAAGGUCUGGCGAGAAUUAUAUUAUACGUCAUGUCCGUAUCUAUCACUUGAAAUUUCGUACCUUUGACAACUCCUUCUGCAAAUAUGGUAAGUACUAUUUCCCCUUUUGUAACAAUUCUUGAAUUGUCGAAUCCACAUAAGGUCCGUGCUUUGGUCACCAUUUUGUCAUCAGCUUGCAUCUUGUUUACCACUUUUAACAGAAUAAUAUUUACGGAGCUACCUGGAUCAAUCAAAACUCAUUUCACAUUACUAUCAUGUACAAGUAAUGAUAUUACCAGUGCAUUGUUGUGAGGGAUCAUCAUGCCAUCUACGUCUGCAUCAUCAAACGUUAUGUUGUAUUCUUCCAAAACUUGGCGAACUCGCUUUUUGUGGGUAAUCGUGACUUUUGAUUUUUUUGCAGCUGUAUAUGUCACACCGUUGACCUCCUCUCCUCCGUUUAUCACAGUAACUGUUCUUUUUGGUGAUGGAGAUUUUGGUGGCUCUUUCUAUUCUUUAUAUACGUUUGCUAAAUCUUCUCACUAAACAAAUCAGUUAAAUAACCUUGUUUUAACAAAUGCUCUAUUUCGCCUUGUAGCAAUAUGCAAUCUGCUGUUUUAUGACCGUGGUCUUUAUGAAACUCGCACCAGAAAUCUGGAUUUCUUCUGUUAGGGUUCGAUCUCAUUUCUUUUGGCCACUGCAACUUUUCUCCCAUACUUCUUAAAACAGCUACCAACUCAGUAGUGCUAACAUUAUGACUCUAAUCGCCAAUCUUUGCCUUUGUAUUAACAUUGUUAUCUCGCGUAUCUCGCUCUUUCCCAAACUUGGAUGAUGAACCCGCAUCUCUGUCUCUUGAUCUAGAACCGUACCUCAUAUUUUCUUGUUUAGAACGUGAAUCCCGUCCCGCUGGUCCCAUGUAAGGUUUGUACAUGUUCUUACCGGACCUUUUUCAGUUUCUGGUCACAUGUAAGGUUCGUACAUGUUCUUCUAUUUGCAGCUUCGUACUAUACCUGUUGUAAACAUCAUUCCAAGUUGUAGCAGGGAAUUCUCGCAAACUUUCGUUGAGCCUCCUCGUGGCUUCUGAGCUUUUUUCAUUUAAGUUACUUGCAAACUCUAUGGCCGCCCAGUUAUCGGGUACCCACAGUAACAUCAUUCUUUAACACUGGAAUCUAUCCAUAAAUUCCCUGGGUAGCUCUGUAUCUCCUUGUUUUAUCUUGAAGAUGUUUUCCUUCCUCUUUUCAACUUUUUGAGCCCCUAAGUGUGAUUUUAUAAAUGAAUCUGCAAGCUCAGCAAAAGAAUCAAUAGAAUUUUCCGGUAAAAGAGAAUACCAUGUUAGUGCUCCUUUUGUGAGUGUUUCGCCAAAUUUUUUUACCAGCACCAACUCAUUUUCUUGCUUGGUUAAAUCAUUGCCUUUUGCACCAGUUGUAAACGCAGUUACAUGAUCUCGUGGGUCGGUUGUUCCAUCAUACUUCGGAAUAUUUGGCAUCUUAAACUUUUUUGGAAUCAGCAAGGGGGAGGCACUUGGCUUCCAGGGCUAUUGUGAACAUUUGUCAAUAUCCA
RNAcentral lists this long non-coding RNA (21713 nucleotides) under Nicotiana tabacum (common tobacco). RNAcentral's name for it is "long non-coding RNA (NTAB_LNC004234)". Lineage: Eukaryota; Viridiplantae; Streptophyta; Magnoliopsida; Solanales; Solanaceae. The record is from RNAcentral.